This 50-nucleotide non-coding RNA is filed under the name Schistosoma mansoni. The record is from RNAcentral. Lineage: Eukaryota; Metazoa; Platyhelminthes; Trematoda; Strigeidida; Schistosomatidae.
AUCCAGCUGACGAGUCCCAAAAAUAGGACGAAACGUGCGUCAAACUAGAU